AACGGCCGUACCAUGCUGAAUAUACCGGUUCUCGUUAGAUCAUCGAAGUUAAGCAUCAUUGGGCGCGGUCAGUACUUGGGUGGGUGACCACCUGGGAACACCGCGUGCCGUU
This is a non-coding RNA of Caerostris darwini, 112 nucleotides long. The record is from the annotation of a GenBank genome assembly. Lineage: Eukaryota; Metazoa; Arthropoda; Arachnida; Araneae; Araneidae.